AAUCAUCGCUUUCCAUUUUCGAUUUCAGCUGAGCCAUCGUUCAGAAAAAGGAUCGUCGCCAUGUCGAAGAAACGAGGACUUUCGAUGGAAGAAAAGAGGGAGAAAAUUCUCCAGAUAUUUUAUGAAUCCCAAAGCUUCUUCCUCCUUAAGGAGCUUGAAAAAUUGGGCCCCAAGAAAGGGGUAAUUACCCAAUCUGUUAAAGAUGUUGUGCAAAGUUUAGUGGAUGAUGACCUCGUUUCAAAGGACAAAAUUGGAACAUCCUUAUACUUUUGGAGCCUUCCAAGCUGUGCUGGAAAUCAGUUGAGGAAUGUGCAUCGGAAACUCGAAUCAGAUCUCCAAAGCAGUAAGAAGAAGUUGUCAGAACUUGUUGAUCAAUGUAAUGAACUAAAGAAGGGGCGUGAAGAAUCUGAUGAAAGAGAGGAGGCCUUGGCUGAAUUAAAAGCAAUAGAAUUGAAAUAUAAUGAGCUUAAGGAGGAGAUGGGACAGUAUGCAGAUAAUGAUCCAGCUGCAUUUGAAGCAAUGAAGAAAGCAAUUGAGGUUGCCCAUGGAGCAGCUAACAGAUGGACAGACAACAUCUUCACUCUGCGGCAGUGGUGCUCAAACAACUUUCCUGAAGCCAAAGAGCAGCUCGAACAUAUGUACAAGGAGGUAGGAAUUACAGAUGAUUUCGACUAUGUGGAAUUAGCACCAGCCAUUCCACUCCGUGCGGUUGGUGAUCAGAUGCUAGAAGGAUCCGUAAGUGAUACCAUGUAGACUAUCUUUCUCUUAACUAUCAUCUUUUCCCCAACCUUAAGAAAUGCUGUCUUGAUCAAAUGUUCAAACCAUAAUAGUGGCCAAGGUGAAAAUAGGUUCAUCUAAGGCUUAAUUGGUGUAAAAUGACUUGAAGUUGAUCAUAAAAAUAGAGCAUCACUUGUUCAAUUCCGGGUUUGGCUUUGUAGAAACAAGAAAAUUCCUUGAUGAUUUACUCAUUUUAGACUAAAUUGCUUCUCGAUUUUCAGAAUGUGUUCGUUUUCUUAGUUUUCAUUUUUCUGUACAAGAACAAGGACUUUGCACCUUAAUCUUUCAUUAAGAAGGAAAUAGUUAUUAAAUUAAAACCAAAUUGCUAUAAAAAUUCAUUAUUUAUAAAAGUUGAUGAAUAGAUUUAUCAACUUGCAAUUUGGUGUGUGUAUCAUCAAACGCAUAGGUCCAAUGCAUAUGCCAAUAGAUGCAGUGAAUGUACAGCCAAAAUUGUGGUGGCAUGUAUUGUUGGGGGUCCUUUCCAUCGCACGUUGAUUUGGCAGGUCAAACUCCAAAGCAAGGGCAGAAAUCAAAAUCCUCUUUGAACUUUGAAAACCACAAAUGACAUAAUACAUCGAUGGAAACAAAUAUUCUACCCAAACUAAGCAAUACCUGGAGUCUGAACGUGCAGUCAUCAUUUAUCGUACACGUGGCACCAAUCAACAACGAAAAGGGGGGGGGGGGUGUGGGGUUCACGGCCUUGUUAAUUGUCUCACGGCAUUGGCAGCCAGAGUGGCCGUUUCUUCGUAAAGAUUGUCAGUUUCUGGCCUCUUUUUAAACCCCUCCGCCCAAACCCAAAGUCUAAAGUUUCAAAGCGGCGGUUAUCAAAAGUUCGACAGAAGAAACGAACCCAAGAAAGAAAAAAAGGCUAGGAUUGUAGCUUGAAGAUAGGAUGGAGAUGUUAAGGGUUCGGGUUGCAGUAAUGGUUAUUUUUGCACUUGUAUUGGCCCUGGUUGUACCUUCCUUCAAUGCCCAAAGCCCUUCUCCUGCACCUCCUCCUACAAGCGAUGGGGUAACAGUUGAUCAGGGGAUUGCCUAUGUUUUAAUGCUGUUAGCUUUGGUGCUGACGUAUAUCAUUCACUGACAUCAUGUCGAGACAGAGAACGACCAGAUGGAAAAUAAUUCGUAAUUGAGCCAUGAUAAUUUACUCAUUAUUCAAACUCAUUCUUUUCUAUCCAAAAUUUUGUUUUCUUCUUCAUCUUCACUUGCUAGCUUGUAAUUUUAAUCUCUGUUUCUUUGCAAAUUGCCAACUUGUUUCUUCACUAUUUCCUCUAAAAAUGAAAAUUGCAUGUGGGUAGCAUGACGCAAAAGGUCUGCUCCUUCUCUUAAAAUUUAAAAGCUCCCACCAAAACCAUCUAAAGAAUCCCCACCACGCUGAAGUCUCUCCCGCUUAUACCCGACUAAAAUAUAAAGGAAACCCCCUAACUCACUCCAAAAUGGCAACGUUCGAUUAGACUUUGGCGUUGAAAGAUUAGAUAAUGCUAAUCUUUUUAUGCUAAACUAUACUCCACUACAAUCUAAUUGCUCUUUAACUUCUUUUUUUUUUUUUGUAUGUUUUAGAUGGAAGAAAGAAAAGGAUGCAUUGGUCGAAUUCAACAAGUUAUUAAUUUUAAUAAGGAGGAGGUCGAAGUGACGGCCACAUAGCACUGAACAAGUGUCAAUGUCACCACGUUUUAUUCAGCCGAAAGAAACAAGGGUCCGCGCAUUUUGCCCUAGUUUUCCUAUUGCAAUAGUUCAAUUGUCACAUUUGCCCUCAAUUACCUGCACCGGUAUAUGACCAACACGCCUCGCAAAACCACCCUAAUCACGCCACGACUCAUUAUUGCAUGAAAUAGAGAAAAUAAUU
Non-coding RNA from Durio zibethinus, 2623 nucleotides. The record is from RefSeq and is a predicted model, not a curated record. NCBI's taxonomy places the organism in Eukaryota, Viridiplantae, Streptophyta, Magnoliopsida, Malvales, Malvaceae.